UACGGAGGGAGCUAGCGUUGUUCGGAAUUACUGGGCGUAAAGCGCACGUAGGCGGCUUUGUAAGUUAGAGGUGAAAGCCCGGGGCUCAACUCCGGAACUGCCUUUAAGACUGCAUCGCUUGAAUCCAGGAGAGGUGAGUGGAAUUCCGAGUGUAGAGGUGAAAUUCGUAGAUAUUCGGAAGAACACCAGUGGCGAAGGCGGCCCACUGGACUGGUAUUGACGCUGAGGUGCGAAAGCGUGGGGAGCAAACAGG
RNAcentral lists this ribosomal RNA (253 nucleotides) under uncultured bacterium. RNAcentral's name for it is "partial 16S ribosomal RNA". It matches the Rfam family "Bacterial small subunit ribosomal RNA", at positions 524 to 776 of the family's 1533-position model. The record is from RNAcentral.